Molecule: ribosomal RNA, 1313 nt
Filed under: Salmonella enterica subsp. enterica serovar Javiana
Lineage: Bacteria; Pseudomonadati; Pseudomonadota; Gammaproteobacteria; Enterobacterales; Enterobacteriaceae
Description: partial 23S ribosomal RNA
Rfam family: Bacterial large subunit ribosomal RNA
Source: RNAcentral
GAGGUUAAGCGACUAAGCGUACACGGUGGAUGCCCUGGCAGUCAGAGGCGAUGAAGGACGUGCUAAUCUGCGAUAAGCGCCGGUAAGGUGAUAUGAACCGUUAUAACCGGCGAUUUCCGAAUGGGGAAACCCAGUGUGACUCGUCACACUAUCAUUAACUGAAUCCAUAGGUUAAUGAGGCGAACCGGGGGAACUGAAACAUCUAAGUACCCCGAGGAAAAGAAAUCAACCGAGAUUCCCCCAGUAGCGGCGAGCGAACGGGGAGGAGCCCAGAGCCUGAAUCAGCAUGUGUGUUAGUGGAAGCGUCUGGAAAGGCGCGCGAUACAGGGUGACAGCCCCGUACACAAAAGCGCAUGUGCUGUGAGCUCGAUGAGUAGGGCGGGACACGUGGUAUCCUGUCUGAAUAUGGGGGGACCAUCCUCCAAGGCUAAAUACUCCUGACUGACCGAUAGUGAACCAGUACCGUGAGGGAAAGGCGAAAAGAACCCCGGCGAGGGGAGUGAAAAAGAACCUGAAACCGUGUACGUACAAGCAGUGGGAGCCCCACCACUAAGCCAGUGGUGAACUCCACAUACGCAUCCUUUGCUGAGGAUACGGUUAACGGAGCGAAAGCGACGUUCAACCGCAAAAGAAGCAGAGGGGGCUUAGUGGUGGGGUGACUGCGUACCUUUUGUAUAAUGGGUCAGCGACUUAUAUUCUGUAGCAAGGUUAACCGAAUAGGGGAGCCGGAGGGAAACCGAGUCUUAAUUGGGCGUUAAGUUGCAGGGUAUAGACCCGAAACCCGGUGAUCUAGCCAUGGGCAGGUUGAAGGUUGGGUAACACUAACUGGAGGACCGAACCGACUAAUGUUGAAAAAUUAGCGGAUGACCUGUGGCUGGGGGUGAAAGGCCAAUCAAACCGGGAGAUAGCUGGUUCUCCCCGAAAGCUAUUUAGGUAGCGCCUCGUGAAUUCAUCUCCGGGGGUAGAGCACUGUUUCGGCUAGGGGGCCAUCCCGGCUUACCAACCCGAUGCAAACUGCGAAUACCGGAGAAUGUUAUCACGGGAGACACACGGCGGGUGCUAACGUCCGUCGUGAAGAGGGAAACAACCCAGACCGCCAGCUAAGGUCCCAAAGUCAUGGUUAAGUGGGAAACGAUGUGGGAAGGCCCAGACAGCCAGGAUGUUGGCUUAGAAGCAGCCAUCAUUUAAAGAAAGCGUAAUAGCUCACUGGUCGAGUCGGCCUGCGCGGAAGAUGUAACGGGGCUAAACCAUGCACCGAAGCUGCGGCAGCGACGCUGAUGCGUUGUUGGGUAGGGGAGCGUUCUGUAAGCCUG